Molecule: small RNA, 77 nt
Filed under: Xanthomonas vasicola
Lineage: Bacteria; Pseudomonadati; Pseudomonadota; Gammaproteobacteria; Lysobacterales; Lysobacteraceae
Description: sX9 sRNA
Rfam family: Xanthomonas sRNA sX9
Source: RNAcentral
AUGUACCACUCGUACACUGCGGUUCCUGCGCGCCGUCCGCGCCCACCUGACGGCUGCUCGCGCGCAAGGCGUAAGUG